GAUGAACGCUGGCGGCGUGCCUAAUACAUGCAAGUCGAGCGAACAGAUAAGGAGCUUGCCCUUUGACGUUAGCGGCGGACGGGUGAGUAACACGUGGGUAACCUACCUAUAAGACUGGGAUAACUUCGGGAAACCGGAGCUAAUACCGGAUAACAUUUGGAACCGCAUGGUUCUAAAGUGAAAGAUGGUUUUGCUAUCACUUAUAGAUGGACCCGCGCCGUAUUAGCUAGUUGGUAAGGUAACGGCUUACCAAGGCGACGAUACGUAGCCGACCUGAGAGGGUGAUCGGCCACACUGGAACUGAGACACGGUCCAGACUCCUACGGGAGGCAGCAGUAGGGAAUCUUCCGCAAUGGGCGAAAGCCUGACGGAGCAACGCCGCGUGAGUGAUGAAGGGUUUCGGCUCGUAAAACUCUGUUAUUAGGGAAGAACAAACGUGUAAGUAACUGUGCACGUCUUGACGGUACCUAAUCAGAAAGCCACGGCUAACUACGUG
RNAcentral lists this ribosomal RNA (496 nucleotides) under uncultured bacterium. Its description in RNAcentral is "partial 16S ribosomal RNA". It matches the Rfam family "Bacterial small subunit ribosomal RNA", at positions 28 to 507 of the family's 1533-position model. The record is from RNAcentral.